This 408-nucleotide ribosomal RNA is filed under the name uncultured bacterium. RNAcentral describes it as "bacterial SSU rRNA". It matches the Rfam family "Bacterial small subunit ribosomal RNA", at positions 969 to 1376 of the family's 1533-position model. The record is from RNAcentral.
CCUUACCUACUCUUGACAUCCAGAGAAUUCGCUAGAGAUAGCUUAGUGCCUUCGGGAACUCUGAGACAGGUGCUGCAUGGCUGUCGUCAGCUCGUGUUGUGAAAUGUUGGGUUAAGUCCCGCAACGAGCGCAACCCUUAUCCUUGUUUGCCAGCACGUAAUGGUGGGAACUCCAGGGAGACUGCCGGUGAUAAACCGGAGGAAGGUGGGGACGACGUCAAGUCAUCAUGGCCCUUACGAGUAGGGCUACACACGUGCUACAAUGGCGUAUACAGAGGGCUGCAAGCUAGCGAUAGUGAGCGAAUCCCACAAAGUACGUCGUAGUCCGGAUUGGAGUCUGCAACUCGACUCCAUGAAGUCGGAAUCGCUAGUAAUCGUGAAUCAGAAUGUCACGGUGAAUACGUUCCCG